RNAcentral lists this ribosomal RNA (1475 nucleotides) under uncultured Bordetella sp. Its description in RNAcentral is "partial 16S-23S ribosomal RNA intergenic spacer". It matches the Rfam family "Bacterial small subunit ribosomal RNA". Lineage: Bacteria; Pseudomonadati; Pseudomonadota; Betaproteobacteria; Burkholderiales; Alcaligenaceae. The record is from RNAcentral.
GGUUUGAUUCUGGCUCAGAUUGAACGCUGGCGGGAUGCUUUACACAUGCAAGUCGAACGGCAGCACGGACUUCGGUCUGGUGGCGAGUGGCGAACGGGUGAUAAUGUAUCGGAACGUGCUCGUAGCGGGGGAUAACUACGCGAAAGCGUAGCUAAUACCACAUACGCCCUUCGGGGAAAGCGGGGGACCUUCGGGCCUCGCACUAUUAGAGCGGCCGAUAUCGGAUUAGCUAGUUGGUGGGGUAACGGCUCACCAAGGCGACGAUCCGUAGCUGGUUUGAGAGGACGACCAGCCACACUGGGACUGAGACCUGGCCCAGACUCCUACGGGAGGCAGCAGUGGGGAAUUUUGGACAAUGGGGAAACCCUGAUCCAGCCAUCCGCGUGUGCGAUGAAGGCCUUCGGGUUGUAAAGCACUUUUGGCAGGAAAGAAACGGCACGGGAUAAUACCCCGUGCAACUGACGGUACCUGCAGAAUAAGCACCGGCUAACUACGUGCCAGCAGCCGCGGUAAUACGUAGGGUGCAAGCGUUAAUCGGAAUUACUGGGCGUAAAGCGUGCGCAGGCGGUUCGGAAAGAAGAUGUGAAAUCCCAGAGCUUAACUUUGGAACUGCAUUUUUAACUACCGAGCUAGAGUGUGUCAGAGAGAGGUGGAAUUCCGCGUGUAGCAGUGAAAUGCGUAGAUAUGCGGAGGAACACCGAUGGCGAAGGCAGCCUCCUGGGAUAACACUGACGCUCAUGCACGAAAGCGUGGGGAGCAAACGGGAUUAGAUACCCUGGUAGUCCACGCCCUAAACGAUGUCAACUAGCUGUUGGGGCCUUCGGGCCUUGGUAGCGCAGCUAACGCGUGAAGUUAACCGCCUGGGAGGUACGGUCGCAAGAUUAAAACUCAAAGGAAUUGACGAGGACCCGCACAAGCGGUGGAUGAUGUGGAUUAAUUCGAUGCAGCAUAGCGCACACCUUGACAUGUCUGGAAUCCCGAAGAGAUUUGGGAGUGCUCGCAAAGAGAACCGGAACACAGGUGCUGCAUGGCUGUCGUCAGCUCGUGUCGUGAGAUGUUGGGUUAGAAUCCCGCAACAGGCGCAACCCACUUGUCAUUAGUUGCUACGAAAGGGCACUCUAAUGAGACUGCCGGUGACAAACCGGAGGAAGGUGGGGAUGACGUCAAGUCCUCAUGGCCCUUAUAGGUAGAGACUACACGUCAUACAAUGGUCGAGACAAGAGGUCGCCAGCCCGCGAGGGGGGCAAUCCCGAAACCCGAUCGUAAGUCCGGAUCGCAGUCUGCAACUCGACUGCGUGAAGUCGGAAUCGCUAGUAAUCGCGGAUCAGCAUGUCGCGGUGAAUACGUUCCCGGGUCUUGUACACGCCGCCCGUCACACCAUGGGAGUGGGUUUACACCGAAGUAGUUAGCCUAACCGUAAGGAGGGCGAUUACCACGGUAGGAUUCAUGACUGGGGUGAAGUCGUAACAAGGUAG